Talpa occidentalis (Iberian mole) is the source of this 377-nucleotide long non-coding RNA. RefSeq lists it as uncharacterized. NCBI's taxonomy places the organism in Eukaryota, Metazoa, Chordata, Mammalia, Eulipotyphla, Talpidae. The record is from RefSeq and is a predicted model, not a curated record. The transcript has 3 exons.
CAGGAUGGAAAAAGGAACAAAAAAGAAUGGGGUGCACAGAGCCCUCGCAUGCAGUUGGGGUCACCAGCCUGCUUUCCUGAAGUCAUCAUCUUCCAGACCAAGAGGAAGCCUGAAGAAAUAUGUAACAAUCAUACCUAAGGCAAGAAGGUGCUCCUGUGAGAUCGCUUGAUGUCAGCGCCCAAAAUUGCUUCUAUGCACAAGCUUGCUUCCUUUAGGGAGGAAUAGCUUCACCUCCAUUUUCAAAAAUGUGCUUAAUGGGGGAGUUCCAACAAAUUGGAACUCCUAAUUUCUGGCCUAAGAACAAGAAUGCAUAGUCCAACCAGGAUUAUGCCUUGUUUUAUGUCAUUACUUACAUGGAAAAAUUUUGUGAAGGAGUA